GAUGAACGCUGGCGGCGUGCCUAAUACAUGCAAGUCGAGCGAACAGAUGAGGAGCUUGCUCCUCUGACGUUAGCGGCGGACGGGUGAGUAACACGUGGAUAACCUACCUAUAAGACUGGGAUAACUUCGGGAAACCGGAGCUAAUACCGGAUAAUAUAUUGAACCGCAUGGUUCAAUAGUGAAAGACGGUUUUGCUGUCACUUAUAGAUGGAUCCGCGCCGCAUUAGCUAGUUGGUAAGGUAACGGCUUACCAAGGCAACGAUGCGUAGCCGACCUGAGAGGGUGAUCGGCCACACUGGAACUGGGACACGGUCCAGACUCCUACGGGAGGCAGCAGUAGGGAAUCUUCCGCAAUUGGCGAAAGCCUGACGGAGCAACGCCGCGUGAGUGAUGAAGGGCUUCGGAUCGGAAAACCUUGUUAUUAGGGAAGAACAAAUGUGUAAGUAACUAUGCACGUCUUGACGGUACCUAAUCAGAAAGCCACGGCUAACUACGUG
Molecule: ribosomal RNA, 497 nt
Filed under: uncultured bacterium
Lineage: Bacteria
Description: partial 16S ribosomal RNA
Rfam family: Bacterial small subunit ribosomal RNA
Source: RNAcentral